UUUUAUGGAGAGUUUGAUCCUGGCUCAGGAUGAACGCUGGCGGCGUGCCUAAUACAUGCAAGUCGAGCGAACGGACGAGAAGCUUGCUUCUCUGAUGUUAGCGGCGGACGGGUGAGUAACACGUGGAUAACCUACCUAUAAGACUGGGAUAACUUCGGGAAACCGGAGCUAAUACCGGAUAAUAUUUUGAACCGCAUGGUUCAAAAGUGAAAGACGGUCUUGCUGUCACUUAUAGAUGGAUCCGCGCUGCAUUAGCUAGUUGGUAAGGUAACGGCUUACCAAGGCAACGAUGCAUAGCCGACCUGAGAGGGUGAUCGGCCACACUGGAACUGAGACACGGUCCAGACUCCUACGGGAGGCAGCAGUAGGGAAUCUUCCGCAAUGGGCGAAAGCCUGACGGAGCAACGCCGCGUGAGUGAUGAAGGACUUCGGAUCGUAAAACUCUGUUAUUAGGGAAGAACAUAUGUGUAAGUAACUGUGCACAUCUUGACGGUACCUAAUCAGAAAGCCACGGCUAACUACGUGCCAGCAGCCGCGGUAAUACGUAGGUGGCAAGCGUUAUCCGGAAUUAUUGGGCGUAAAGCGCGCGUAGGCGGUUUUUUAAGUCUGAUGUGAAAGCCCACGGCUCAACCGUGGAGGGUCAUUGGAAACUGGAAAACUUGAGUGCAGAAGAGGAAAGUGGAAUUCCAUGUGUAGCGGUGAAAUGCGCAGAGAUAUGGAGGAACACCAGUGACGAAGGCGACUUUCUGGUCUGUAACUGACGCUGAUGUGCGAAAGCGUGGGGAUCAAACAGGAUUAGAUACCCUGGUAGUCCACGCCGUAAACGAUGAGUGCUAAGUGUUAGGGGGUUUCCGCCCCUUAGUGCUGCAGCUAACGCAUUAAGCACUCCGCCUGGGGAGUACGACCGCAAGGUUGAAACUCAAAGGAAUUGACGGGGACCCGCACAAGCGGUGGAGCAUGUGGUUUAAUUCGAAGCAACGCGAAGAACCUUACCAAAUCUUGACAUCCUUUGACAACUCUAGAGAUAGAGCCUUCCCCUUCGGGGGACAAAGUGACAGGUGGUGCAUGGUUGUCGUCAGCUCGUGUCGUGAGAUGUUGGGUUAAGUCCCGCAACGAGCGCAACCCUUAAGCUUAGUUGCCAUCAUUAAGUUGGGCACUCUAAGUUGACUGCCGGUGACAAACCGGAGGAAGGUGGGGAUGACGUCAAAUCAUCAUGCCCCUUAUGAUUUGGGCUACACACGUGCUACAAUGGACAAUACAAAGGGCAGCGAAACCGCGAGGUCAAGCAAAUCCCAUAAAGUUGUUCUCAGUUCGGAUUGUAGUCUGCAACUCGACUACAUGAAGCUGGAAUCGCUAGUAAUCGUAGAUCAGCAUGCUACGGUGAAUACGUUCCCGGGUCUUGUACACACCGCCCGUCACACCACGAGAGUUUGUAACACCCGAAGCCGGUGGAGUAACCUUUUAGGAGCUAGCCGUCGAAGGUGGGACAAAUGAUUGGGGUGAAGUCGUAACAAGGUAGCCGUAUCGGAAGGUGCGGCUGGAUCACCUCCUUUCUAA
This 1557-nucleotide ribosomal RNA is filed under the name Staphylococcus aureus. RNAcentral's name for it is "16S ribosomal RNA". It matches the Rfam family "Bacterial small subunit ribosomal RNA". Lineage: Bacteria; Bacillati; Bacillota; Bacilli; Caryophanales; Staphylococcaceae. The record is from RNAcentral.